GACGAACGCUGGCGGCGUGCUUAACACAUGCAAGUCGAACGGAAAGGCCCUGCUUUUGUGGGGUGCUCGAGUGGCGAACGGGUGAGUAACACGUGAGUAACCUGCCCUUGACUUUGGGAUAACUUCAGGAAACUGGGGCUAAUACCGGAUAGGAGCUCCUGCUGCAUGGUGGGGGUUGGAAAGUUUCGGCGGUUGGGGAUGGACUCGCGGCUUAUCAGCUUGUUGGUGGGGUAGUGGCUUACCAAGGCUUUGACGGGUAGCCGGCCUGAGAGGGUGACCGGCCACAUUGGGACUGAGAUACGGCCCAGACUCCUACGGGAGGAAGCAGUGGGGAAUAUUGAACAAUGGGCGGAAGCCUGAUGAAGCAACGCCGCGUGCGGGAUGACGGCCUUCGGGUUGUAAACCGCUUUCGCCUGUGACGAAGCGUGAGUGACGGUAAUGGGUAAAGAAGCACCGGCUAACUACGUG
This 468-nucleotide ribosomal RNA is filed under the name uncultured bacterium. RNAcentral describes it as "partial 16S ribosomal RNA". It matches the Rfam family "Bacterial small subunit ribosomal RNA", at positions 28 to 507 of the family's 1533-position model. The record is from RNAcentral.